Molecule: ribosomal RNA, 468 nt
Filed under: uncultured bacterium
Lineage: Bacteria
Description: partial 16S ribosomal RNA
Rfam family: Bacterial small subunit ribosomal RNA
Source: RNAcentral
GACGAACGCUGGCGGCGUGCUUAACACAUGCAAGUCGAACGGAAAGGCCCUGCUUUUGUGGUGUGCUCGAGUGGCGAACGGGUGAGUAACACGUGAGUAACCUGCCCUUGACUUUGGUAUAACUUCAGGAAACUGGGGCUAAUACCGGAUAGGAUCUCCUGCUGCAUUGUGGGGGUUGGAAAGUUUCGGCGGUUGGGGAUGGACUCGCGGCUUAUCAGCUUGUUGGUGGGGUAGUGGCUUACCAAGGCUUUGACGGGUAGCCGGCCUGAGAGGGUGACCGGCGACAUUGGGACUGAGAUACGGCACAGACUCCUACGGGAGGAAGCAGUGGGGAAUAUUGCACAAUGGGCGGAAGCCUGAUGCAGCAACGCCGCGUGCGGGAUGACGGCCUUCGGGUUGUAAACCGCUUUCGCCUGUGACGAAGCGUGAGUGAAGGUAAUGGGUAAAGAAGCACCGGCUAAAUACGUG